CGCGGCCUAUCAGCUUGUUGGUGGGGUAAUGGCCUACCAAGGCGUCGACGGGUAGCCGGCCUGAGAGGGCGACCGGCCACACUGGGACUGAGACACGGCCCAGACUCCUACGGGAGGCAGCAGUGGGGAAUAUUGCACAAUGGGCGAAAGCCUGAUGCAGCGACGCCGCGUGAGGGACGACGGCCUUCGGGUUGUAAACCUCUUUCAGUAGGGAACAAGGCAUCAUUUUUGUGGUGUUGAGGGUACUUGCAGAAGAAGCACCGGCUAACUACGUGCCAGCAGCCGCGGUAAUACGUAGGGUGCAAGCGUUAUCCGGAAUUAUUGGGCGUAAAGAGCUCGUAGGCGGUUUGUCGCGUCUGUCGUGAAAGUCCGGGGCUCAACUCCGGAUCUGCGGUGGGUACGGGCAGACUAGAGUGAUGUAGGGGAGACUGGAAUUCCUGGUGUAGCGGUGGAAUGCGCAGAUAUCAGGAGGAACACCGAUGGCGAAGGCAGGUCUCUGGGCAUUAACUGACGCUGAGGAGCGAAAGCAUGGGGAGCGAACAGGAUUAGAUACCCUGGUAGUCCAUGCCGUAAACGUUGGGCACUAGGUGUUGGCGACAUUCCACGUCGUCGGUGCCGCAGCUAACGCAUUAAGUUCCCCGCCUGGGGAGUACGG
This 655-nucleotide ribosomal RNA is filed under the name uncultured Actinomycetes bacterium. RNAcentral's name for it is "bacterial SSU rRNA". It matches the Rfam family "Bacterial small subunit ribosomal RNA", at positions 232 to 885 of the family's 1533-position model. Lineage: Bacteria; Bacillati; Actinomycetota; Actinomycetes. The record is from RNAcentral.